Molecule: ribosomal RNA, 4377 nt
Filed under: Triticum aestivum (bread wheat)
Lineage: Eukaryota; Viridiplantae; Streptophyta; Magnoliopsida; Poales; Poaceae
Description: partial small subunit ribosomal RNA
Source: RNAcentral
AUGGAGCACCUGCGAGUGCUCAAGGAGGAGGUGGAGAUCAUGGAAGAGGAGGAAUCUCCUGAGGCGCACAAGAACGUUGUCCUCUCAAAUCCAACUCCUCCUACCAGUGAUGUUUUGGGUGCCAUGAGACCCCUUAUUGGGAAGUUGGACAUGCUUCUCCUUAGGGAUGCUCCUCAGAAAUGCUGCUCCAAGAGGAUCAAGGACAGGAUGCGCCUCCUCAAAGAUGAUGUUCAAAAGAUAAGUUCCUACCUUGAUGAACUAUUAGAGUUGGAAGACCCUCCGCCAAUGGCCAUGUGCUGGAUGAAUGAGGCACGUGACCUGUCUUACGACAUGGAGGAUUACGUCGACAGCUUAUUAUUUGUGCCGCCUGAAGAUCCCUCCCUUUUUGCUAACAACAUCAAGGCCACCAGAUCCCUCCGCAAAUGGUCCAGUCGUGUCAAGACUUCCCAGACUCAGGUUAUUAGUGCAGAAACAUUAUCGGAAUUCAGGAAGUAUGUCCAGGAGGCCAUUCAACGGCACCAGAGGUACAAUCUCCAUUCUUGCAGAACCUUGAGGCGUAGAUUUGUGUUGCAUGGCCCUAUGGUUCUUCCAAGGCCAUAUGAAGAAACUACAGACAUAGUAAUCGAUGGCCGGAUGAAUGAAUUUAUCAACUCGCUGGCUACCGAUGGGGACCAGCAGCUCAAGGUGCUUUCUGUUCUUGGAUCUGCUUGUAUUGGUAAAACCACACUUGCUAGAGUGUUGUACAACAGACUUAGGAAGCAAUACAAUUGCCGAGCUUUCAUUCGAGUAUCCAAGAAACCUGAUACAAAGAAAAUUUUCUGUGACAUGCUCUCGCAACUCAAGCGGCAACAUCCUCCGCAACAUUGUAGGGAAAUUGAUCUCGUUCACGAUAUCAAGCAAUAUCUACAAGAUAAAAGGUAUUUAAUUAUUAUUGAUGAUGUAUGGGCUGCAUCAGUAUGGGAUACUAUUAAUCAUGUUUUUCCAAAGGGUAAUCAUGGCAGCAGAAUAAUAACAACUACACAGAUCGAAGAUGUUGCAUUAACAUGUUGCUGCUAUCAGUCAGAGUAUGUUUUUGAGAUGAAAUACCUAGAUGAUGAUCAUUCUAGAAAGCUUUUCUUUAACAGACUAUUUUGCUCUGAAAGAGAUUGUCCUGAACAGUUCAAAGAUGUUCUAAAUGAAAUUGUUGAAACAUGUGAUGGUUUGCCGUUAGCCACAGUUAGCAUAGCAAGUGUUUUAGCAAGCCAGCCUGUCAUGUCAAUUGAUCUUUUGACAUACAUCCAUCGGUCGUUAAGCUCUUGCUUCUCGGCAUUAGAAAGAACUAGACAAGCACUGAAUCUGAGCUUCAACAGUCUUCCUCAAUAUUUGAAGACAUGUUUGCUUUAUCUUAGUAUGUAUCCAGAGGGCUACACAAUCUUGAAGGAUGAUUUGGUGAAGCAAUGGGUGGCUGAAGGUUUGAUCUAUACAACAGAAGGGCAAGACAUCGGGAAAGUUGCAGAAAGCUAUCUCGAUCAACUUCUUGGUAGAAGAUUCAUCCAACCGAUAUGUGUCAACUACAACAAUGAGGUGUUAUCCUGUGCAGUGCAUGGCAUGGUACAUGAUCUUAUUGCACACAAAUCUGCAGAAGAGAAUUUCAUUGUGGCAAUAGACUACAGCCAAAAGAAUGUGCCACUCUCUCAAAAGGUCCGUCGACUAUCUCUCCUCUUUGGUAAUGCAAAAUAUGCCAAGACACCAGCAAACAUCACAAAGGCACAAGUUCGGUCACUUGGAUUUUUUGGAUUACUCGAGUCUAUGCCUUGUAUUACAGAGUUCAAGCUUCUUCGUGUCCUGAACCUUCAACUGUUCGGUCAUGCUGGCGAUGACGACGGCCCUGUAGACCUCACUGGAAUUUCAGAAAUGUUUCAACUGAGAUAUAUGAAGAUUGCAGGUAAUGUCUGCAUAAAACUGCCAAACCAUGUGCUACGAUGUUUGGAAAUACUGGAUAUUGCGUAUGCAAGAGUUGCUUGUGUUCCACGAGAUAUCCAUUUACCAAACUUGUUACACCUUGGUCUUCCUCUUGAUAAAAAUCUGCUGGAUUGGAUUAACAGCAGGAUGUCUCUCAGUGUGGAGAGAGUACGCAAGCUGCAGGAUCUUCACCUGACCAGAUCUUCUGCACUUUCUUCUGACCAUCUGAAUAGAAGCAUGAGUUCUAUUUUAUCUUUACUUGGAGGACAUGGCAACCUGAAAACUUUAGUAGUGGCUCAUGGCUCAUCGGCUAAAAAUUCUCUUGGCGUUUCAGACGUCACCCUGUCAUGUGAUCUGCUGGCACCCCCACUUCUCCAGAGAUUUGAAUUCUCGCCACAUAGCCGUAUCUUGUUCUCAAGAAUUCCUCUGUGGAUUGAGAAACAUGGCAACCUAAGAAUUUUGAAGAUUGCAGUGAGGGAACUGCAGAUGAGUUGUGUUGAUAUCCUCAGAGGAUCGCCUGCCCUCACUGCUCUCUCUCUGUAUGUGGAGAAGGCGCCCUACGAAAAGAUCAUCUUUGACAAGGCUGGGUUCUCGAUUCUCAAGUACUUCAAGUUGAGGUUCACGAGUGACAUAGCUUGGAUAAAAUUUGAGAAAGGUGCAAUGCCUAAUCUCUGGAAGCUCAAGCUAGUUUUCAAUGCCAUCCCCUCUUUUGAAAAAGAUGGUACUGCACUCAUCAGCAUCGAGCAUAUGCCAGGCCUUAAAGAGAUCUCCACAAAAUUUGGGGGUGAAGCUCCUGAUCUAGAGUAUGCCUUGAGGACCUUGGUUAGUAAUCAUCCGACCAAUCCUAUAAUUAACAUGCCAUCAAAUAAGACUCUGGGGGGAGAACAACGACAUAGGAAUCUGGAGCAAGAAUCAGAUGAGAUUCUGAAGGAAGAUCCAUAUGGGAAUCUGGAGCAAGAAUCGGAUGAAAUUCUGGAGGAACAAGAGCCAGAUGAAUACGAUGAGAGAUUAGAGAGGCGACAGGCUGAUAAAAGGAUUUCAAGGUCAUCAGAUCCAUCUUCGCGUCUACAUGUUCUAGUACCAGUUGGUGCUUCUGAGAUGGGAAGUGAGCCUGAUGUGGAAAUCCCUGUGGCACCAACUACUAAUGAUAACAUGAUGUUGUCGGUCAAUCUCGAAGCAUUUGCUAGGGAAAAUUAUCCGAGCACUAACUUGGAAAGUUCUGUAAAGGAGAUGGAAAGAGUGGCAGGUUUAGAGGAUCAUCAGAUGGAAGAUAGCACACAGAAAAAGCAGAGCAAAGAUGAGGCGGACGAAGACUCAUCCAUCCACUCACCCCGGCGAGGGAGCCCUACACCGCCGCUGCUGUUGAAGAAGCCGGGAAAGAUCGCUCUCCCCUCCCACGAGUCCACCAUGGGCAGAUUCUUCUGGGCUCCAGCGCGGGACGGGGACAGGAUGCAGAUCGGGAUGUUCAAGGACGGCGACGGCAACCUGCUCGUCAACAAGGACGGCCUCCGCAUCACCCCGCAGACCGAGGAAGGCGAGGCUCCUCCUAUAGAGCCGUUAGAUAACCAUCAGUUGAGCAUACAUGAUCUGGAAGUAAUCAAAGUGAUUGGGAAAAGUAGUAGUGGAACCGUGCAAUUGGUGCGCCAGAAAUGGACUGGCCAGUUUUUUGCUCUCAAGGUUAUACAACUCAAUAUUCAGGAAAGCAUACGCAAGCAACUUGCCCAGGAGUUGAAAAUAAGUUUGUCAACACAGUGUCAAUAUGUUGUCACAUGCUAUCAGUGUUUCUAUGUCAAUGGUGUCAUUUCUAUUGCUUUGGAGUAUAUGGAUGGAGGCUCUCUGGCUGAUUUCCUGAUGACUGUUAGAACCGUUCCAGAGGCCUACCUUGCUGCAAUUUGUAAGCAGGUGUUGAAAGGACUGAUGUACUUGCAUCAUGAGAAGCGCAUUAUACACCGAGAUCUGAAACCAUCAAAUAUAUUAAUAAAUCAUAGGGGUGAAGUAAAGAUAUCAGAUUUUGGUGUUAGUGCCAUCAUUUCUAGUUCUUCUACACAGCGAGAUAUAUUUACUGGCAUAUUUAACUACAUGGCGCCAGAAAGAAUCAGCGGGCAGAAACAUGGUUAUAUGAGUGACAUAUGGAGCUUGGGCCUAGUUAUGCUGGAAUGUGCCACUGGCAAUUUCCCAUAUCCUCCUCGUGAUAGCUUUUAUGAACUUCUUGAAGCUGUUGUCGACCAACCAUCACCUUCUGCACCAUCAGACCAGUUUUCACCAGAGUUCUGUUCAUUCAUUUCUGCGUGCAUGCAAAAAGAGGCUACAAAUAGGUCAUCUGCACAAAUCCUAUCAGCUCAUCCAUUCCUGAGCAUGUACAACGACCUGAAUAUUGAUCUGGCUGACUACUUCAGGACCGCGGGAUCUCCACUUGUCACCUUCAAGAAUAAGUGA